GAUGAGCCUAGGUCGGAUUAGCUAGUUGGUGAGGUAAUGGCUCACCAAGGCGACGAUCCGUAACUGGUCUGAGAGGAUGAUCAGUCACACUGGAACUGAGACACGGUCCAGACUCCUACGGGAGGCAGCAGUGGGGAAUAUUGGACAAUGGGCGAAAGCCUGAUCCAGACAGGCCGCGUGUGUGAAGAAGGUCUUCGGAUGUAAACCUAAUUGAGUUGGGAGGAAGGGCAGUUACCUAAUACGUGAUGUUUGACG
This 255-nucleotide ribosomal RNA is filed under the name uncultured bacterium. RNAcentral describes it as "partial 16S ribosomal RNA". It matches the Rfam family "Bacterial small subunit ribosomal RNA", at positions 224 to 474 of the family's 1533-position model. The record is from RNAcentral.